Molecule: ribosomal RNA, 500 nt
Filed under: uncultured bacterium
Lineage: Bacteria
Description: bacterial SSU rRNA
Rfam family: Bacterial small subunit ribosomal RNA
Source: RNAcentral
GAUCCUGGCUCAGGAUGAACGCUAGCUACAGGCUUAACACAUGCAAGUCGAGGGGCAGCACAAGGCAGCAAUGCUGAGGUGGCGACCGGCGCACGGGUGCGUAACGCGUAUCCAACCUUCCCGUUACUCUUGGAUAGCCUUCCGAAAGGGGAGAUUAAUACAAGAUGGUGUUGAAAUUCCGCAUGUUAUUUCAACUAAAGAUUUAUCGGUAACGGAUGGGGAUGCGUGACAUUAGAUAGAUGGCGGGGUAACGGCCCACCAUGUCCACGAUGUCUAGGGGUUCUGAGAGGAAGGUCCCCCACACUGGAACUGAGACACGGUCCAGACUCCUACGGGAGGCAGCAGUGAGGAAUAUUGGUCAAUGGCCGGAAGGCUGAACCAGCCAAGUAGCGUGAAGGAUGAAGGUUCUAUGGAUUGUAAACUUCUUUUAUGAGGGAAUAAAACCUCCCACGUGUGGGAGCUUGUAUGUACCUUAUGAAUAAGCAUCGGCUAACUCCGUG